This 440-nucleotide ribosomal RNA is filed under the name uncultured bacterium. RNAcentral describes it as "bacterial SSU rRNA". It matches the Rfam family "Bacterial small subunit ribosomal RNA", at positions 338 to 795 of the family's 1533-position model. The record is from RNAcentral.
CCUACGGGUCGCACCAGUGGGGAAUAUUGGACAAUGGGCGAAAGCCUGAUCCAGCCAUGCCGCGUGAGUGAUGAAGGCCUUAGGGUUGUAAAGCUCUUUCAGUAGGGAAGAUAAUGACGGUACCUACAGAAGAAGCCCCGGCUAACUUCGUGCCAGCAGCCGCGGUAAUACGAAGGGGGCUAGCGUUGUUCGGAUUUACUGGGCGUAAAGCGCACGUAGGCGGAUCGUUAAGUCGGGGGUGAAAUCCUGGAGCUCAACUCCAGAACUGCCUUCGAUACUGGCGAUCUUGAGUCCGGAAGAGGUGAGUGGAACUCCUAGUGUAGAGGUGGAAUUCGUAGAUAUUAGGAAGAACACCAGUGGCGAAGGCGGCUCACUGGUCCGGUACUGACGCUGAGGUGCGAAAGCGUGGGGAGCAAACAGGAUUAGAUACCCGAGUAGUC